AUAAGAGGUGCAAAUUUCAUCAGUAAGCGCAGUGUAGCGGAAAAGCGUUGCGCGGAAAGGGGAAUUUGCCGAAGUGUCGUAAUAAUUCCGUAAAAAGCGAUGCUGGGGCUGCAGAGAAUAUCUGCAGCACUGUCACAGAAAUGUGGAGUGCUUUCA
Molecule: non-coding RNA, 156 nt
Filed under: bovine gut metagenome
Also listed under: 1 other name
Description: Lysine riboswitch
Rfam family: Lysine riboswitch aptamer
About the family: Riboswitches are metabolite binding domains within certain messenger RNAs that serve as precision sensors for their corresponding targets. Allosteric rearrangement of mRNA structure is mediated by ligand binding, and this results in modulation of gene expression.
Source: RNAcentral